CCGUUAAAAGGAACCAAGCACUUGCUUUAGUACACGAUGAAGUUGUCAAUUCAAUUACAUUAAUUAGCAUCAAGUCACAGAGGAAUAAGCUUCGAGACACGCAAACAAAGAAGCAAUAAAGAAAUGAGAACCUUCUACAUUCAAGCACCAAUCCCUUAAGUGCUUGGUGAAGUGGAAAACGAAUAAUCAAACCAUGCCAGCUAGCAGCUAGCCCAGUAUCAAUCAUGGGAUGAAAUAAUAUGUUUGCAGGUUUGCAGAUUGUAAGUGUCAUAAUAUUGAGGUGGUUGUAUGUACAAGUGACAAGCAAGAACUAAAGGCCUCGUUGGUAUUUCAAACAAACACAGGUCAAGACUUCAACCAAAUGUCAAUACUUUCUAAGGAGGAUGAUAUUGCAUUGUACCUAAAGAAACCCCACUCCACAGAAAAAGGGAAAACUACUAACUGUUCCAUUUUUCAUAUGUAGAUAUUAAUUCUUGAUGUUCACGAUCCAAAAAAGACGUGGAGUACUACAAACAAUGUUUAAAAAAUUAAUCGGGUAAAAAGGCGUUAUGCCAUUGAGGCAAGGCGUAAGCCUCAAGACAUAGUAAUAAAUAGAUCAAAAGAUUAUAAAAUUACAAAAAUAUGCUUAUAAUAAAUCA
Molecule: long non-coding RNA, 638 nt
Filed under: Olea europaea subsp. europaea
Lineage: Eukaryota; Viridiplantae; Streptophyta; Magnoliopsida; Lamiales; Oleaceae
Source: RNAcentral